Molecule: unclassified non-coding RNA, 240 nt
Filed under: soil metagenome
Description: partial contains 5.8S ribosomal RNA, internal transcribed spacer 2, and large subunit ribosomal RNA
Source: RNAcentral
AACAUCGCGCACCUGCGGGAACCUGCGGAAGGAUCAUUACCGAGUGCGGGUCCGCGUGGCCCAACCUCCCACCCGUGCCUAUUGUACCCUGUUGCUUCGGCGGGCCCGCCAGCCUUCGGGCUGGCCGCCGGGGGGCGUCUCGCCCCCGGGCCCGUGCCCGCCGGAGACCCCAACAUGAACCCUGUUCUGAAAGCUUGGUGUCUGAGUGUGAUUGUUUGCAAUCAGUUAAAACUUUUAACA